AUUGAACGCUGGCGGCAUGCCUUACACAUGCAAGUCGAACGGUAACAGGUCUUCGGAUGCUGACGAGUGGCGAACGGGUGAGUAAUACAUCGGAACGUGCCCGAUCGUGGGGGAUAACGAAGCGAAAGCUUGCUAAUACCGCAUACGAUCUACGGAUGAAAGCAGGGGACCGCAAGGCCUUGCGCGAACGGAGCGGCCGAUGGCAGAUUAGGUAGUUGGUGGGAUAAAAGCUUACCAAGCCGACGAUCUGUAGCUGGUCUGAGAGGACGACCAGCCACACUGGGACUGAGACACGGCCCAGACUCCUACGGGAGGCAGCAGUGGGGAAUUUUGGACAAUGGGCGAAAGCCUGAUCCAGCCAUGCCGCGUGCAGGAUGAAGGCCUUCGGGUUGUAAACUGCUUUUGUACGGAACAAAAAGACUCUGGUUAAUACCUGGGGUCCAUGACGGUACCGUAAGAAUAAGCACCGGCUAACUACGUGCCAGCAGCCGCCGUAA
Molecule: ribosomal RNA, 497 nt
Filed under: uncultured bacterium
Lineage: Bacteria
Description: partial 16S ribosomal RNA
Rfam family: Bacterial small subunit ribosomal RNA
Source: RNAcentral